GCGGAUGGAGCUCAGAUUCUUCAGUUAACUGUCACCCUCUCCCCUCCCCCGUCACACACACCAGGCCCUGCCAGGACAAGGCAGCUCCUGGAAGCUCCACCAGGACCCACGUCCACCAGGCAUCUCGAACCCUCGGCCCCCAUGGACCCCCUGAGGCGCUCCCCCUCUCCCUGCCUGUCGUCGCGGCCCUCCAGCCCCAGCACCCCACCCUGCGAGAUGCUUGGUCCUGUGGGCAUUGAGGCUGUGCUGGACCAGCUGAAGAUCAAGGUUAUGAAGAUGGGGUUUGAGUUCAACAUCAUGGUGGUGGGGCAAAGCGGGCUGGGCAAGUCCACGAUGGUGAACACGCUGUUCAAGUCCAAAGUGUGGAAGUCAAACCCACCGGGCUUGGGGGUACCCACACCCCAGACGCUGCAGCUGCAUUCAGUGACCCACGUCAUAGAGGAGAAGGGUGUGAAGCUGAAGCUGACGGUGACGGACACGCCCGGCUUCGGGGACCAGAUCAACAAUGACAACUGACAGUGAAGCCGAGAAUGGCAGGAGGUCUCUCUGUCU
This 552-nucleotide small RNA is filed under the name Pongo abelii (Sumatran orangutan). RNAcentral describes it as "processed transcript". The record is from RNAcentral. Lineage: Eukaryota; Metazoa; Chordata; Mammalia; Primates; Hominidae.